Mustela erminea (ermine) is the source of this 1222-nucleotide long non-coding RNA. RefSeq lists it as uncharacterized. The record is from RefSeq and is a predicted model, not a curated record. The transcript has 3 exons. NCBI's taxonomy places the organism in Eukaryota, Metazoa, Chordata, Mammalia, Carnivora, Mustelidae.
GGUGGAGCCCCGGAGGCGCUGCCCGCUGACGACCGGCUUUCUGAGCCUCGGUUUGGGCGGCGCGGACAGCCGGGCUUGGCUUCAGGCUCUAAGUCAAAUGAAAUAAAUUUCACUUCUUCACAGCACUGGGAGACAAUGGACUAGUGGGAAGCUCUCCUGGCACCAAUGGCUAACACUGACAGGGAGACUGCACUCUGGGCAGUGGAGACAGACUGCAACGGGACACACCUUCCUUGCCAGAUGAUACUUUAAACAUCUAACUCCACUUCUAGGACUUUUUAAAUAGUUAAGAAGAUGGAAGACAAGCAGGAGGCAGAAAAGAUCCAAGAAGAUUACUGAUAUCCUCACAUCUGCCAGAAGCUGUAACUACUCCUGAGGGAGAAUGCACAGAAUGUCUUGCCUUGAAGUUACAACAGGGAAAACCAGGAAUGGAUGGUUCGUGCCAACUUCCUUCGUUUUGUUCCUUCCUUUGAAUACAAGAUGCAUAUUAUCUUUUCCAAGUUCUUUUCUAAGUACUGUAUGCUGUAUUUAGUGAGCCCAUAAGGAAGGGUUAGAAAGAAAUGGGGUAACUUGUUUCCCCAAUAGCUCUCAUUUCCCAAGCUACCUCAGAAGUCAGUGGAAAAAGUCACAUAUUAUAUAUGUGACUAUAUAUAAUUAAUAAUUAAAAUCAACUGUUACACAAUUUCUGCCUAAUUUCUCAUAUUGCUUGUACCCAAACGGAAACGCUCACCAUAAUUAAAGUUGCUCAAAUUGCUGCUAUAUUUCCCACUAGGAGGAUUAUAUAUCUGCCUGGCAUCCCUUUUUGGUCCGGCUGAAGAUUUCUUGGGUGGUGAACCAGAAGUUGUAUCUUCAUUGGCUCUCUUCUGCCUGUAAUGGUUUCCAAGAUAAUGUUACUGUGCUUUUAUAAGAAGGAGGAAUGUGGAAGAGAUCCUAAAAAGACAAAAUGAAGACAAGAUUUCUAAUAUAUCUGGUGGUACAGAGAAUGGUGGUGAGGGUAAGAAACAUGGAGACAUCUUAAAGUUUAGGAGAGAGUAAGUUCUUAUCUAUCCUUGUUCACCUAAAAAAAAAGUUGCAAGAGAAAAAACAAACAGAUGAUUUUGUUUACAAAUUAUAUCUAUUACACUUCAUUAAUGUCAUUUUGUAUGUAUCACUUCAGAAACUAGCUAAGAUUUUUUUUGGUUUUGUUUUAUUCAUUUGAGAGAGAGAGAAAGAAAGAGAGCAC